RNAcentral lists this ribosomal RNA (253 nucleotides) under uncultured bacterium. Its description in RNAcentral is "partial 16S ribosomal RNA". It matches the Rfam family "Bacterial small subunit ribosomal RNA", at positions 524 to 776 of the family's 1533-position model. The record is from RNAcentral.
UACAGAGGGUGCGAGCGUUAAUCGGAUUUACUGGGCGUAAAGGGCGUGUAGGUGGGUGAGUGAGUCAGAUGUGAAAGUCCCGGGCUUAACCUGAGGAUUGCAUUUGAUACUGCUUGUCUAGAGUGAAGUAGAGGAUAGUAGAAUUUCCAGUGUAGCGGUGAAAUGCGUAGAUAUUGGAAAGAAUACCGGUGGCGAAGGCGGCUAUCUGGACUUUAACUGACACUGAGGCGCGAAAGCGUGGGGAGCGAACAGG